GUGGAGGGUUCGAUUCUGGCUCAGGAUGAACGCUGGCGGCGUGCUUAACACAUGCAAGUCGAACGGGAUCCCAGGAGCUUGCUCCUGGGUGAGAGUGGCGAACGGGUGAGUAAUGCGUGACCGACCUGCCCCAUACACCGGAAUAGCUCCUGGAAACGGGUGGUAAUGCCGGAUGCUCCGACUCCUCGCAUGGGGUGUCGGGAAAGAUUAUAUCGGUAUGGGAUGGGGUCGCGUCCUAUCAGGUAGUCGGCGGGGUAACGGCCCACCGAGCCUACGACGGGUAGCCGGCCUGAGAGGGCGACCGGCCACAUUGGGACUGAGAUACGGCCCAGACUCCUACGGGAGGCAGCAGUGGGGAAUAUUGCACAAUGGGCGCAAGCCUGAUGCAGCGACGCCGCGUGCGGGAUGACGGCCUUCGGGUUGUAAACCGCUUUUGAUCGGGAGCAAGCCUUCGGGUGAGUGUACCUUUCGAAUAAGCACCGGCUAACUACGUGCCAGCAGCCGCGGUAAUACGUAGGGUGCAAGCGUUAUCCGGAAUUAUUGGGCGUAAAGGGCUCGUAGGCGGUUCGUCGCGUCCGGUGUGAAAGUCCAUCGCUUAACGGUGGAUCUGCGCCGGGUACGGGCGGGCUGGAGUGCGGUAGGGGAGACUGGAAUUCCCGGUGUAACGGUGGAAUGUGUAGAUAUCGGGAAGAACACCAAUGGCGAAGGCAGGUCUCUGGGCCGUUACUGACGCUGAGGAGCGAAAGCGUGGGGAGCGAACAGGAUUAGAUACCCUGGUAGUCCACGCCGUAAACGGUGGAUGCUGGAUGUGGGGCCCGUUCCACGGGUUCCGUGUCGGAGCUAACGCGUUAAGCAUCCCGCCUGGGGAGUACGGCCGCAAGGCUAAAACUCAAAGAAAUUGACGGGGGCCCGCACAAGCGGCGGAGCAUGCGGAUUAAUUCGAUGCAACGCGAAGAACCUUACCUGGGCUUGACAUGUUCCCGACCGCUCCAGAGAUGGGGCUUCCCUUCGGGGCGGGUUCACAGGUGGUGCAUGGUCGUCGUCAGCUCGUGUCGUGAGAUGUUGGGUUAAGUCCCGCAACGAGCGCAACCCUCGCCCUGUGUUGCCAGCACGUCAUGGUGGGAACUCACGGGGGACCGCCGGGGUCAACUCGGAGGAAGGUGGGGAUGACGUCAGAUCAUCAUGCCCCUUACGUCCAGGGCUUCACGCAUGCUACAAUGGCCGGUACAACGGGAUGCGACACGGCGACGUGGAGCGGAUCCCUGAAAACCGGUCUCAGUUCGGAUUGGAGUCUGCAACCCGACUCCAUGAAGGCGGAGUCGCUAGUAAUCGCGGAUCAGCAACGCCGCGGUGAAUGCGUUCCCGGGCCUUGUACACACCGCCCGUCAAGUCAUGAAAGUGGGUAGCACCCGAAGCCGGUGGCCUAACCCCUUGUGGGAUGGAGCCGUCUAAGGUGAGACUCGUGAUUGGGACUAAGUCGUAACAAGGUAGCCGUACCGGAAGGUGCGGCUGGAUCACCUCCUUUCUACGGAG
This 1533-nucleotide ribosomal RNA is filed under the name Bifidobacterium catenulatum subsp. kashiwanohense. RNAcentral describes it as "bacterial SSU rRNA". It matches the Rfam family "Bacterial small subunit ribosomal RNA". The record is from RNAcentral. Lineage: Bacteria; Bacillati; Actinomycetota; Actinomycetes; Bifidobacteriales; Bifidobacteriaceae.